GUUUUGGAUUUCUUCAUGGUUCAAUUUAGAUGCUGCUGCCUCUGGGAGCCCUGUGCCUCAGCCAUGGUCAACCCCACCAUGUUCUUUGACAUCACCAUCAAAAAUGGUGUCUCCCUCUGUCACCCAGGCUGGAUGGAGCUCAGUGGUGUGAUCUCGGCUCCGUGCAACCACUACCUCCCGAGUUCCAGCGAUUCUCCUGCCUCAGCCUCCAGAGUAGCUGAGAUUACAGGUGCCAUGCCCAACUAUGGGGAUUCACCAUGUUGGCCAGGCUGGUCUUGAACUCCUGACCUCAAAUGAUCUGCCCACCUCAGCCUCCCAAAACCCUGGAAUUAUAGGCAUGAGUCACCGCUCCAAGCUGGGGAGCAAUCAGGGAUCAUUCUUCAGCGUCCUGAAGAGUGUUUUCUUUGUUGCUGCUUCGCAGG
RNAcentral lists this long non-coding RNA (422 nucleotides) under Pongo abelii (Sumatran orangutan). RNAcentral describes it as "lincRNA". Lineage: Eukaryota; Metazoa; Chordata; Mammalia; Primates; Hominidae. The record is from RNAcentral.